AGCAGCCGCGGUAAUUCCAGCUCCAAUAGCGUAUAUUAAAGUUGUUGCAGUUAAAAAGCUCGUAGUUGAAUUUCGGGGUUAGUAGUUUGGUCGUGCCAAUGGUAUGUACUGGGCUCACUGAUUCCUCCUUCCUGAUGAACUGUAAUGCCAUUAAUUUGGUGUUGCAGGGAAACUGGACUGUUACUUUGAAAAAAUUAGAGUGUUUAAAGCAAGCUAACGCUUGAAUACAUUAGCAUGGAAUAAUGAAAUAGGACGUUCGAUCCUAUUUUGUUGGUUUCUAGGAUUGACGUAAUGAUUAAUAGGGAUAGUUGGGGGCAUUAGUAUUCAAUUGUCAGAGGUGAAAUUCUUGGAUUUAUUGAAGACUAACUACUGCGAAAGCAUUUGCCAAGGAUGUUUUCAUUAAUCAAGAACGAAAGUUAGGGGAUCGAAGACGAUCAGAUACCGUCGUAGUCUUAACCAUAAACUAUGCCGACUAGGGAUCGGAUGAUGUUAAUUUUUAAUGA
Molecule: ribosomal RNA, 503 nt
Filed under: uncultured Glomus
Lineage: Eukaryota; Fungi; Glomeromycota; Glomeromycetes; Glomerales; Glomeraceae
Description: SSU rRNA
Rfam family: Eukaryotic small subunit ribosomal RNA
Source: RNAcentral